AUGCUGAUAUGUUUUAUUUGUAAGGCACACCAGAAAAGUUCUGCAUUGCUUUGUCAGCAUUUGAGACUUCGCCAUGGAUUAUAUCCAGGAAAGACAUUACGUUUGAAAUGUGGACAAUCGGGAUGUUCUUUAUCAUUUUGUACGUAUUCAGGGUUCAAAAAACACCUUGUUCGUUUGCACAAGGACACUUGUUCACCAAAUAAACACCUCGUUCAUUUGCACAGGGCCACUUGUUCACCAAAUACUAUUGACAAUGUGGACGCUCAAAGUGAAGGUGAUGAGCCUUCAAGUUCUCAGGCAUUCUGUACAGACACUCCAGUAACUAGCCGGACCUCUGUUGACAAGCAUCAUUUGUUAAACCUGUGUGGAUCUGUUGUAGCACAAUUGCAAGCAUCAGGUGUUGCUGAGAGCACUGUCCAAGCAAUGGUAGGGUCAAUGGAAGAGCUUGUAAAUGACAUUCAUGAGCAAACAAGAGAAGCUGUUCUCAGCUGUACUUCUUCAGAGAUUCAAGCAACCGAUUUGGAAGAAAAGGUGGAAAAUUGUUUUGAUCAAUUGGAAAAUCCUUUCUCAGUCUUAAAUACAGCAGCCAAACGACAGAAGUUCUUUGAGGAAAAGUGGGAAAUAGUUGAACCUGUAGAGUAUGUUCUUGGGGUGCGUUUUGAUUUGCGAAGAGAUCGGACAACAGGAGUUUACAAUCAGAUCCCUGUAACAGAUAAAUUUGUGUAUGUACCCAUCUUGGGAACCCUGAAAUCUAUGUUUAAGAAUAGUGAAUUAUGUGAAAGUUUCCUGCAAGUCAAGCAACAUAAAGAAGGUGUUUAUAAAGAUAUAUGUGAUGGUUCAUACUUCAAAAGUAAUGAUUUGUUUUCCCAGCAAAAACAUGCUCUACAGAUUCAGCUUUAUUACGAUGAUUUUGAGACGGCAAAUCCCUUGGGUUCAAAGAAAGGGAUACACAAGCUUGGUUGCAUUUACUUUAUAUUGAGGAACCUGCCCCCAAAAUGUAAUUCUGUUCUGAUGAAUAUUCAUGUUGUGGCACUUUUUCAUUCACAAGACCUGAGGAAAUAUGGUUUUGAUGAAAUACUAAAGCCUCUCAUUUAUGAUGUUAAAACACUAGAAAUGGAAGGAAUAGAGGUACCUUUCUCAGACUCACCAUUGCGAGGGACUGUUAUUCAAGUAACAGGUGAUUAUCUAGGUUUGCACGGAUUGUUUGGUUUGAUUGAAUCCUUCAGUGCAACAUAUUUCUGUAGAUUUUGUUUAACUACAAAGGAAGAGUUACAAUCUGUCUUCACUGAAGAUAACCCUUGCUUGAUUUUCCGUACAAAAGAAAUGCAUGCAGAACAUUGUGCAUCUCUACAGGAAAAUCCUAUGUUGGCAUCAACAUUUGGUGUCAAGAAGACAUGCUUGCUCAAUACAUUAUGUUUUUACCACAUCUCUGAUAACUAUGCAGUGGACAUCAUGCAUGAUUUACUUGAAGGUGUAGUGCAGUACAAAUUGAAACUAGUAUUUCAAUACCUGGUCAAUAACAAGAAUCUGUCUUUAGAAACAUUGUCACAGAGGAUCCAAAGUUUCAACUACGGUUAUAUUGAGCGAAAAAACAGGCCAAGUGGGUUGAAAAUGGAUGAGGGUAGUAAAGAUCUUGGAUUGAAUGCAAUUCAGUCAUGGUGUCUUGUGCGAAAUGCUCCCCUGAUUUUUGGUGAUGUAAUUGAAAGAAAUAACAGUCACUGGAACUUGCUCCUCCUCUUGAUUCAGAUAGUGAAUAUAGUGUUUUCACCAGUUGUUACUAAUGGUUUGACGUAUUAUUUGAAGCAUUUGAUUAAUGAUCACCACAAGCUGUUCAGAUCCUUGUUUCCUGACAGAAGAUUAAUUCCAAAGCAUCAUUUUAUGAUCCAUUAUCCAAGGUGCAUUCGUAAAAUAGGUCCACUUCUUCAUGUAUGGUGCAUGAGGUUUGAGGCCAAACAUAAUGUUUUUAAACGAUCUGUUAAAAAUUUCAAAAAUAUCACAAAAACCUUGGUAAAACAACACCAGAGACAGUUAGCUUAUCACUGGGAGAAUUUUAAUUUUCAGAGAUUUGAGUUUGGUCCAGUGAGGAAAGAAAUGAUCGAUAACUUGGAGAAUUUAAGUGCUAAGUUUCAUGUGAAUGCAUUUUCUGAUGUGUCAACUACUAAUUGGGUGAAAAACUUUGGAACUGAGUAUCAAAUUGGUAUAUUUGUUUGUAUUACAACAGAUAUGGAAAUUCCUGUGUUCAGAAAGAUCACAAAUAUCAUUAUUAAUGAAGGGGGGUAA
This is a long non-coding RNA of Cyprinus carpio (common carp), 2280 nucleotides long. NCBI's taxonomy places the organism in Eukaryota, Metazoa, Chordata, Actinopteri, Cypriniformes, Cyprinidae. The record is from Ensembl.